Non-coding RNA from Dipodomys ordii (Ord's kangaroo rat), 72 nucleotides. The record is from Rfam. Lineage: Eukaryota; Metazoa; Chordata; Mammalia; Rodentia; Heteromyidae.
GAGAAGUUGGCUCAGUGGUAGAGUGCUUGCCUCACAUGCAUGAAGCUCUGGGUUCGAUUCCUCAAUACCCCA